CCUACGGGUCGCAGCAGUGGGGAAUAUUGGGCAAUGGGCGCAAGCCUGACCCAGCAACGCCGCGUGAAGGAAGAAGGCUUUCGGGUUGUAAACUUCUUUUAAGAGGGAAGAGCAGAAGACGGUACCUCUUGAAUAAGCCACGGCUAACUACGUGCCAGCAGCCGCGGUAAUACGUAGGUGGCAAGCGUUGUCCGGAUUUACUGGGUGUAAAGGGCGUGUAGCCGGGCUGACAAGUCAGAGGUGAAAUUCCGGGGCUCAACCCCGGACCUGCAUUUGAAACUGUUGCCUUGGGGUAUCGGAGAGGCGGGCGGAAUUCCUAGUGUAGCGGUGAAAUGCGUAGAUAUUAGGAGGAACACCAGUGGCGAAGGCGGCCUGCUGGACGACAACUGACGGUGAGGCGCGAAAGCGUGGGGAGCAAACAGGAUUAGAUACCCAGUAGUC
This 441-nucleotide ribosomal RNA is filed under the name uncultured bacterium. RNAcentral's name for it is "partial 16S ribosomal RNA". It matches the Rfam family "Bacterial small subunit ribosomal RNA", at positions 338 to 795 of the family's 1533-position model. The record is from RNAcentral.